Neofelis nebulosa (Clouded leopard) is the source of this 1694-nucleotide long non-coding RNA. RefSeq lists it as uncharacterized. NCBI's taxonomy places the organism in Eukaryota, Metazoa, Chordata, Mammalia, Carnivora, Felidae. The transcript is spliced from 3 exons. The record is from RefSeq and is a predicted model, not a curated record.
CUCCAGUCUGAAGAUGGGAAGCCCCGGGAAAUUCCUUUCUUUCCACCCUCUCCUUCUCCACCGCGCCGAGAAGCCUUCAGCGACACGCUAGAGUACUCUGGGACACGCUUAGCAUUCUCUGGAGUUCUGCCUCUCCCCCAGGAUUCUUGUGUCUCUCCUGGGUCUUACUAUAUCCUCUCCCCGGGGAUCCCCUCCUCUCCCUCCUGGGUCUCCCCUUAUGUUUUCCGCAGCCUUCUCCACACACCCCCCCCCCCAUCGGCCUGCCCCAAAUCCUCUUCCUGGAAGCGCGUCCAUCCCCCUCCCCUGCCCUUUCUUCUCUGUCCCAUGACUCCCCACUUCCUAUUCGAACUCCUCUCCCCACCGGGCUGCCCUGACUCCUCCCCGGAUCCCUUGUCUCCACCUUGCCCCCGGGGAGCUUUAUUUUUCCCUGGCUCGCAUUUAUCCAGUGUUCAGUCUUCUCUUUCCUAAGCACCCCCUCCUUUUCCAAGGGUGUUGUCCCCCCCUCUCCAAGAAUACUGUGGACUUGCAGCUCGAGACACAGCUCUCCUCACCCCCCCCCACCCCCCCACCCCCCGCCAAACAGACAGGCUCUGAGCCUUCCGUACCUGCUUUGUCCCCUACUCCAGAAGAGGCCAAGCUCAAGGGCCCACCAGAGACUGAGACUGAGGGCACUUGUACAUUCUCGUAGGAUGUGACCCCAAAGGGCUUACUUCCACAGGUGGGAAGAAGCUGGAACAAGACAAGAACCAAUACACAAGCGAGCAAGGCCUGGAGGCCAGGUGAAAUACCAAACCAAGUGUCCAGUAUGUGCUCAAAAAAAGAACCAAUGGAUAUGCUGCCUAAAUGGGACCUUGGAGAGGCUUCAAGAGAGAGGGUCCCCAAAUGCACCUGGAGUGAGCUAAACUGCACAUCCACAAUGGCAUAGACAACUUAAGCAGUCUUGGCCUGUGUCUCUGUCCUCCUUAGCUCUUGUGGGGAUGGUUACACAUCUCCUUAUGACGUUCUGCUUUCCCUUCCAAUGCCGCCUUUUGUGAAUAGGGUGUGAGAGAGGGAUCCUUCUUCCCCACAUGUGUCUUUGCAAUAUUGACAUUCACAUUACCUUUCAAGAUUGGGUAUCAGAAAGGACGCCUGAAACUCGUACUGUGCCUCCACUUGCCCAAAUGUCAGGAGAGCCUGGGGCCUUUUAAGAGCUGAGAAGCCAGUGCUGUGCAUUUCAGCUUUUCCAUAACCAUUAUAUCAUAUGAGCACAGACACCAAAGCCCAUUUCUUGCUCUCUCCUGGCCUCUCCAUUGUUUGUUACAGGGACUCGGUUGUAAAGGUAGAUAACAGGAGGCAGCCCAGCGAUGAGGACAGCAAAUGAGGAAUUUGCUGUGUGGAAAGGGGCUCAUCUGUAUAAAUUUUGGUGAAGUCCAGCCCACAUCAAGAAGUCAAGGAAGGCUUCUGAGACCCUGAAAACCAGGUUGUAUACAACUUCAUUACUUUAGUCCACUGGCUCUGGGAGGCUCUAAUUUAUAGACAGAGCAUGGUAGGCAGAAUAAUGGCCUCUCCAAAAUGUUCACACUUUAAUCCCCAGAAUCUGUGAGUAUGUUACUUUACUUGACAAAAAUGUAAAUGUGGUUAAGGACUUACUGCAUUUAGUAAAAACAUCCAAGUAUGUUAAAUAAUAAGAAUAAUAACAGGCAUCUCUGUCUAAA